This is an RNA transcript of Capsella rubella, 4869 nucleotides long. RefSeq lists it as uncharacterized. Lineage: Eukaryota; Viridiplantae; Streptophyta; Magnoliopsida; Brassicales; Brassicaceae. The record is from RefSeq and is a predicted model, not a curated record. The transcript is spliced from 20 exons.
UCAAAUUUUCUUCUUUUGAUCAUAGGCUAGGGUUAGGGUUACGAGAGAAACAAAUCAAAUUCUCAUAUUUAUAUUUUCUUCAAUCCUCGUCGUCUCGUUAGUUUCUAAUUCUAGUUUCUUCCAAUGGAUCCGUCUCAGUUCUCAUUCGCACAAAUCACCAAAAAAAAAUCAAAGAAGGUUUACCAUAAAGUUUUGACACUGUUGCAAAAUUAUAUAAAGUUUUUCGGAGGUUUUGAGUGGUUCGUAUGAUCAUAUCACUUUGGUGUGAGAUUAAUUGUUUCCGGUGAGGCAGAAUUGUGAAAUAUAAUUUGAAUUGUAAUUUGUGUUGUUUUCUUUGAUUGUGAAAUAUAAUUUUUGAAGGGUUUAAUCAUCUUUCACGGUGAAGGAAAAGGUCUUUCUCAUGGAAGACAAGAUUAUGUUAUGAGAUGAGUUUCGUUUCGUUUCUCUCUGCAUCCCUUUUGAUCCAGUCACUCUCAUAGCAAAAGUUGGAAUCGUUCUUGAUUUAACUACUUGCUCUGGGUUUUGGUAAGAACACACAGCUAACAGUAAGUGAUUCUUUUUGUUGAGCUCCAUAUAUACCACUCAUUAUAAGAUUUUAUCUCAGAAUUCUGAUUUUUGUAUUAUUUCUUUCUUGUUUUGUAUUGUGCAUCUUUGUUAUUCUGUUGGUUUACAAGAGGUAUCUUACUCAUCUUUGGUUUGUGCUUUUGUGCUUGGUACUGAGGGUUUUUCCAUUAUGUUGGUUUACAAGAAGGAAUAUUACGAUAGAGAGAGGUAAGAAAUGGAGUCAACAAUUGGCAAUCCUCGUCUACUUUAGUGUAAAUAUAAUGGUACACAAAUGGAGUUCCUAUAUAAUGGUAGACAACUUGUGUUUUCUAAGCUCAGUUUGCUUCUAAUUCCUUAUCCGAUUCUGUUUUGUCUUUUGUUUGUUACUGAGGACUUUGUUCUUCGACUGGUCUACAAGAGGAAAAUUUGCUAUAAAAACCUUAAAAGUGUCGGUAUUGAAGGUUUGGUUCACUUGGAAGAUGCUUCUCUGAGGACAAUGUUAUAUUCAAGAGAUGUGAUGCUUGUUACAAUUCUCUCAAUUGGUUUUGAAUGGUUAGAGGAGACUAAAAGGUAACUGGUGUCAUGAUAUGUCAUUAGAAUCCGAUGCUUCUUUGAGGUAUGUCUAUAGAUUUAUAGUUAAAAUCAGUCAUGACUGAGGUUUUGUUAAUUGGUCUUAUUGCUAUGUUUUUGCUUUGCAUGGACCCCAGGUAUAGAAUACUAGAAUAAUUUAAGUUUUAAGAUUAAAUUGCCUCUCCAAAACCUAAUGGCUAUCAGAGAGCCUUCAUACUACUGUGUUUCGACAUCAUCAUUCCGAUUUUAUGUUUUCUUUGUCAUUCUUGUUAGGUACUGAGCAUUCUUUGUUAUUCCAUUGGUUUACAAGAGGGUACUUUACUAUAAACAUACUGAGAGAUUUGUUCUGCGGUUGCUUUACAAGAGGGAACAUUACAAUAAGAAAGGAAGAAGUAAUGCUUUGGUGUUUGAAUUCAGAGUGCAGGCUUAGAGUGGUUAGAAUUCGAUUCUUCUGUUAGAAUGUAGUUCAAGAAUUGAUUGAAGAACUUGCAUCUCCAAAUAAUACGAGCAGAAAGAUGGUCAUGAACCGUGCUAAGCCUCUGUAUACCACUGCUACAAAGAGAAGCCAAGAACCGGAGCAAGAAAACCAAUUUUUAGGAAGCCCAAUUCCAAUCAAAGAGAGACCUUAUAUAGUAUACGUUGUAAGUUUGUGUUGUCUCAUAUAUGUUGUGUACAUCUCAUACACUGUUAUGCUUAUCUCAGGUCUAUCGCAAUGGAGCACUAAAAAUGGUCAUGCGUCAUCUUUUGGUUUCUUUAAGUUAAGUCCAUCUCCCAGCCAUUCAAGUUCAAAGUCAAGAUCUGGUUAGACCAAUGAAAAUUCUUUUAAAAUAAAAAAAUUUCACACGAAGUAAUCUCUUGUUUGUUUAUUUAGCUGCAGAAGUGAGAAUAUUUACUUAUAAUUUGUUGUUUUCGUUCAUGUGUGCAUACAUACAUGCAUUCAUGUAUACAUUCUUGAAUCUCUCUCCAUUAUACAUACUUGCAUUCAUGUGUACAAUCCAUACAUGCAUACAUUAUACAUUCAUGUGUGCAUAUAUUCAUACAUUCAUGCGUAUUUGCUUUCUUGAUUUAUUGCUUCGGUCAUUGGUUGCUUUUUUAGUUACUAUGUUAACUUGUUUUUGCUUUGUCUUUUACUCUUUUCCUUGUUUCAUUUUUUAACUUGCUUGUAUCUUUUACUGAUUGCUUACCUGUUUUGUGUUACUUUAUUCCAUGUUUUAUUUUAUGAUCAUUGCUGCUUAACUUGUUUGCUUCUUGGUUCUUUGAUUUACUUCAUUGUACAGCCUUCUUUGUUUCAUUGCUUGCUUCUUUAGUUACAUUGUUUCAUUGCUUGCUUCUUUAGUUACAUUGUUAGCUUGUUCUAAUGUUCUUGUUUGUUUCUUUGGCUUAGUUCAUUUCUUCUUAGCUUUCUUGCUUUUUUCUUUACUGAUUGCUUACAUGUUUUUAAUAAUGUCAAAAACUAUUGCAUGUUUGUUUCCUUGAUUAUAUGAUCGUUGCCUGCCCAAUUGGUUAACUUCCGUCAUUGUUUUUUUUUUCUACAUAAAAUAAACUUUUCUGCCUGUUUUAUUGUUUGCUUACAGUUUUAAUUUGUUUACUCGCUUACUUCUUUUGCUUUAUAAACUUCAUUCAUUGCUACGUAUGUUUUGUAUAUACAUAUGUUUUGCUUCUUGGUUCUUUGAUUUACUUCAUUGCAUAUAAUGUUUACUUUUUUAGUGUAAUUUUUUACGUUGUCUGUUUCUCGUGCAUUAAGUUGAAAUUCUCUGUUGUUGGCUUGGCUACCUUUAUUUUUCUGUCUCAGCGUCUCUUUUUUUUGUUUGGUAUCCGAUAUUGAGUGUUUUGCUUACUUGAAGAAGUAUUGAGGGUUUGGUUCACCUGGAAGAAUCAAUGUUUUGGUGUUUGAAUUCAGAGUGCAGGCUUUGGAGUAGUUAGAAUUUGAUUCUUCUUCUUCCAUUAGGUUAUGAGAGGACACUCAAGCUUUUAAAGAUAAGAAAUAGAGUCAACAGUUGGCGUACACAUCUUUUGAUUUUCUAAACUCAGUUUGCUUCUUCCUUAUCCAUUUCGUAGUCAAAAUUUCUUAAACAGGCCGCAGCAGAGGUUAGAACUGAAUACGCAGGACUUCUUUCAUGGGGUUUUUGUUAAAGUAUGCAGGGUUUUGUUCUUCGGUUGGUUAACAAGUUUACCAUAAACAUCUACAAGAGGGAACUUUGCUAUAAACACUUAGAAAGGAUGGUAUUGAAGGUUUGGUUCACUUGGAAAAUUAACGAAUUGGUGUUUGAAUUAAAAGUGCAGGUCUUGAGUGGUUAAAAUUUGAUGUUUCUCUGAGGAAACCAAUCUUGUGAGAUUUUACUCGAGCAUUUGGCUUUUGAAGUACAAUGUUAUAUUCAAGAGAUGUGAUGCACUCUGAACAAAUUGUCUACAUAUGUCAUGCACUCUGAAUAUUAUAUAUGCGUAACAGUAUAACUAGCUGUCUUUUUGUCUUUGUUCGGUAUCGGUAUUGAGGGUUUGGUUCGCUUGGAAGAAGUAAUGUUUUGGUGUUUGAAUUCAGAGUGCAGGCUUUGAGUGUUCAAGAAUUGAUUGAAGAACUUGCAUCUCCGAAUAAUACGAGCAGAACGAUGGCCAUGAACUAUGCUAAGCCUCUGUAUACCACUUCUACAAAGAGAAGCCAAGAACCGGAGCAAGAAAACCAAUUUGUAGGAAGCCUAAUUCAAAUCAAAUAGAGACCUUAUAUAGUAUACGUUGUCUAUCGCAAUGGAGCUCUAAGAUGGUCAUGCGUCAUCUUCUGGUUUCCUAAGGAAGAGCCAAUACCAAUCUGCCAAAGGAGAAAGGAGAUACAACAAUACACAUCUUCCACACCCAGCUUGGAGAGUGUAUGAUAUUGGUUGAUGUAUUGAAUCUCCGUCCAUUCAUGUGUGCAUACAUACAUGCAUUCAUGUAUACAUUCUCGAAUCUCUCUCCAUUCAUGUGUGCAAACAUACUUGCAUUCAUGUGUAUUCAUACAUUAUACAUUCAUGUGUGCAUAUAUUCAUACAUUCAUACAUUCAUGCGUAUUAUUGCUUUUUUGAUUUGUUGGAUAGGUCAUUGCUUGCUCCUUUAGUUACAUGUUAACUUUCUUUUUGUUUGUCUCUUUACUCUUUUGCUUGUUUCAUUUCUUAACUUGCUUGUUUCUUUUUCUGAUUGCUUACAUGUUUUUGUGUUACUUUAUUCCAUUUUUUUCUUAUAUGAUCGCUGCUGCUUAACUUGUUUGCUUCUUGGUUCUUUGAUUUACUUCAUUGUACAGCCUUCUUUGUUUCAUUGCUUGCUUCUUUAGUUUCGUUGUUAGCUUGUUCUAAUGUUCUUGUUUGUUUCUUUGGCUUAGUUCAUUUCUUAGCUUUCUUGCUUUUUUCUUUACUGAUUGCUUACAUGUUUUUAAUAUUGUCAAAAACUAUUGCAUGUUUGUUUCUUAGAUUAUAUGAUCGUUGCCUACCCAAUUGGUUAACUUGCUUCCUUAUUGGUUCUUUGAUUUUACUUUAUUGAAGAGCCUUAUUUGUUUCUUACUUAGUUUAUUCUUUGAUACUCUGCUUACUUACUUUUACUUCCGUCAUAGUUUUUUUUUUCUACAUAAAAUAAACUUCUCUGCUUGUUUUAUUGUUUGCUUACAGUUUUAAUUUGUUUACUCGCUUACUUCUUUUGCUUUCUAAACUUCAUUCAUUGCUAUGUAUGUUUUGUAUACACAUUGCUUCAUUCAUGGAAACAAAUCAAAUAAUUAGUUUUUGUUUUCUUGCA